This is a long non-coding RNA of Drosophila biarmipes, 461 nucleotides long. RefSeq lists it as uncharacterized. Lineage: Eukaryota; Metazoa; Arthropoda; Insecta; Diptera; Drosophilidae. The transcript has 2 exons. The record is from RefSeq and is a predicted model, not a curated record.
UAUUUAAGAUGAGUAGGCUUGUUUUCUCCCUGAAAUUCAAAACAUUUCGUUGAGCCGAGAUGAGGUCAAAGUGGAAACUGUCGCCUGCUCGGCGGCCAUUGCUGCUGUUGUGCCGGCAUUCUGGGCCGUUGGAAAAGCCCAAAAGGGGCGGGAAGGCUGUUAAUGGGCGGCGGAGCCACCCUCGUCAACGGGAAAAAUCCAGCGAGUUUGUCACAUUGCCGGACCACCCAGCCACCUAGCACCCAGCCACCACCCACUCCUCACCCACCUCCCACCGAGCCAGUCAGCCAUCAUCAUCAUCAGCAUCUGAGUAAACAACAAAACAUGGACAGUAAAUUGUAAACGUCAUAAUGUCGGGGGCGAGCAGCGGCAACAAGAGUAGCAACUGUAUAAAUUAUUACACUGUGUACUCUUAGCGCACAUAAAAAUACAUUAAUAAAUAUUAUUUAUGUAUACUCGUA